AGGCAUUUAUAUUUAUUUCUUUUGCGUUCAUUUUCAAAUUCGCCGUGCAUAUAUUUUUGUGCAUGGCGCUUGAGAGGGAAUCACGUGACUAAAAACGACCAACCAACGACCUCGCUUCGGCCAUCUUGGCAUCUUCAUCUUGGCGACCUUGCCGUUGCCCGGCCUUGCCUUGCCGUGGAUUGUUCUUUGUAUUUUGUAUUAUUUGUGCUUUUUAAGAAUAUUUUUUUAAUUCGGAUACUUUUAUAAUAGCUUUAAUAGUAUUAUUAACAUAGUGCAUAAAAUGGUGUCCUGUUUUUAACGCAGUUGGAGUAGCAGAAACAAAUGUAGAUAAAAAAAUCUGCAGGAAUAACGUUUCAAUUAUGACAGAAGCUCAAAACAAAUGACUGUGAAUGAAAAGCCCUAUUAAAAGCUUUCCAGAAGAUCCUGCGAAGAAGACAAGAAAGUAUAGAUUAGAUUUGUUAAUAGAGGAGUAUGUUCAAAACACUUUUUAGAAAAAGAUAUUGACAGAACUUCACUUUCAUCUGUUCGUUUGAGAGACUGUGCUGUUCCAAUAGCUUAUGUCACACAGAAUCAGCUGAGAGAAGUGGUCUACAAAAAACCAGAAAGGAAACGGAAUAUGUGGCUACGAAAAGCAAAAGAAAGGUUUACAAAGCAAAUGUGACACAUUUUUUAAUAAUAUUUAGGAAUGUCAGCAAAUUACAUUAAAAAAUGUAUGUAAAGAUUUUUUGCAAUAAAAAUGUUUAUAUUUA
Molecule: long non-coding RNA, 749 nt
Organism: Diabrotica virgifera virgifera (western corn rootworm)
Lineage: Eukaryota; Metazoa; Arthropoda; Insecta; Coleoptera; Chrysomelidae
Exons: 3
Source: RefSeq, a predicted model, not a curated record